Solanum lycopersicum (tomato) is the source of this 1869-nucleotide long non-coding RNA. RefSeq lists it as uncharacterized. Lineage: Eukaryota; Viridiplantae; Streptophyta; Magnoliopsida; Solanales; Solanaceae. The record is from RefSeq and is a predicted model, not a curated record.
AUAGGAUUUAAUGUAUUUGGUGUAAUUAUAAUGUCUUGUCCUAUUUGGAAGAACAAAUAAUUACUUGGUCAGUAGGUAAUUAGUGUAAUUGGCAGGAUUACACUCUACAAUUUGCAUGCAGAGGUUGUGAAUUGAUGGUAAUUACGUGAUGUAAUUACCACUUAAUUUUUUUUUAAUUUUAAUUUUUUUGUUUUAAAUUUUUACUUCUAUUAUUUUAGGUUCUUUUUUAUUCUUAUUAUUCUAAAAUUUAUAAAACUACAUUUUUUUUAUUUUAUAUUAUUAUAUUUCAUUUUCUUCUUAUUCUCAACAUUACUUUACGUGAUUCUAUGUAAAAUUCUCGUAUUAUCUGUAAGAUCCCGAAAAUGAGAUAAAGUGUCUAGAGCCUAACAUGUUUUUCAUAAAGUUAUAAUGUCCUAAAUACGCUUAAAAUAUAGUAUAUAGGUGGUAGCUAAAAUAUUAGAGGUAUUGGAAGUCGAACGUUGAGGGACGCCUAAGACGUUCGACGACUAAGUCACCUAGAUGCCUAAUAUGUGGUUCUAUGUGUUUGUGGGUGUUUAAUGAUGUUCUAAUGUUCUAAAAUAUCUUAUUAUAUGGUUUAGAGGCAGUGUGAAAAGUUUGAAUUGAUUUGGAAGUUGAACGUCAAGGGACGACCAAGACCUUGACGACUAGUCGCUUAUGUGCCUCAUGUGUCUUUGUAUGCCUAAAUCUUUAUGAUAUGAGUCUAAUAAGUCUUUAAAAUGGUUUUAAAAUGAUGUUUUAUUGUGUUAUACUACGUUUCGUGAAGUUUGGAGGUCAAACGCCCAAGAACGUCCAAGACGUUCGAAAGAUAGCCCCAAGACGUUCAUCGUAUGUCAUGUUGGGGCCAAGGCUGUUUGGACGUCUAAUAGGUGUUUGUUUUGGAUGAAAUAUAUGUGGUAGGUCUAUAACUUGUUAAGGUUUGUAAUCACGUUGAAAACGUCCGAGUACGACUUCUAAAAGGCCCCACAAGAGGCCUCAAAAGAAGGACCCAAAACCAGUGUGCAGGCUGUCUCAGGCAGAUCCUGGCGACGGAGCAGUCAACGGCCAGCCAUGGCUGUGAUGGCCCGUCAAAGGGUCCCGUCGUGAGGGACUUAUCCAAGGAUGAACAGAGGAACCUUGGUCAGCCACUGUAGCCAACGACGGAGGCCUGUGAUGGCCAGUCGUGGCUUUAACGCCCCGUUAAGGCCCAUCCAUCGCACGACUGCCUCCUGCGCAUGUCUGCUGCCAAUUAAAGGGGUGAAUGGGAAAUUCACCCCACGUCCCUCCUGACUAUAGUAGAUUUAUGUCACUAUUUUUUGGUGAAUAUAAGUCAUCAAAAACGUGAUCACCCCAUUCUAGAAUCCUCUAACAAGAUUGAAGCAUUUCCCUCCAAAAAUACUCUCUUUAGAAACCACCAUUGUUGGUGAAGCUCAAGAACAAAUUCAAGCUGGGUUUUCCAUGGAUGAAUCAUCAUGUUUAAGAGGUUUUCAACUAGACAAAGCUUAAACCAGCAGCCUUGAAAACUUCUAGGGUUUUUGAAGAAACCCUCAUAUCUGCAAACCAAGUGUGAAUGAAAGUUGAAGUUUUAGACGAAUUCAAGUUAAACGGAGAAGUUGCAAAAAUUGAGAUUAAAACCAAAAAGGGGAAGCUAAAUCGUGAUAGUUAUAUAGGUCAGAGGAUAAGGUAUGUAAGGCUAUUCGAUUCCAUAUUCCUUGGCAUGAAAUCUGAUACUUGAUGAUUAAUAUCAAUAAAGUGAAUCUCUUAAGUGAUAUUCCUAGUAAAGGACACAUAGUGGCUGCGUACUAUCUCCAAAUAGCUAACAAUAUUUCUCCCUCUCCUUAGUGACUAUAAUUACUUCAUUAUAUGUUAACU